GUAUGAUACAUGAUAACCAUACAUAAUGACUACUGUAAAUUAUAAACAUCUAAAUGACAUGUAUGAUACAUGAUAACCAUACAUAAUGACUACUGGUUAUUGCUAAUGGAUUUCACAUAGUGGUAACCACAAUUGGUCACCAUAUAGAAGGGGGUGUUUGAACACUCUCAACAUGGAGCAGAUAGACAACAAGGGAGAGGAAGAAAUCAAAGAGCUCAUGGACACGGGGCCCCUCAGAGAGGUGGGCAUGGACCCCAACAAAGAGGUGGGCAUGGGCCCCGACAAAGAGGUGGGCAUGGACCCCGACAAAGAGGUGGGCAUGGGCCCCGACAAAGAGGUGGGCAUGGACCCUAACAAAGAGGUGGGCAUGGACCCUAACAAAGAGGUGGGCAUGGACCCUAACAAAGAGGUGGGCAUGGACCCCGACAAAGAGGUGGGCAUGGACCCCGACAAAGAGGUGGGCAUGGACCCUGACAAAGAGGUGGGCAUGGGCCCUAACAGAGAGGUGGGCAUGGACCACGACAAAGAGGUGGGCAUGGACCCUGACAAAGAGGUGGGCAUGGACCCUGACAAAGAGGUGGGCAUGGACCCUGACAAAGAGGUGGGCAUGGGCCCCGACAAAGAGGUGGGCAUGGGCCCCGUUAGAGGUUUACAUCAGAGAGAGGGAGGCAGACGGCAGGGAACUGUUGUGUCUAAUGAAGUCCGGGCCAUCAUCGGUGACCAUGUGGUUAACAGAGGCCUUACCAUGGCAGAGGAUGAUUAGUUAGGUUAGUUCAACACAAUCUGAAAAGAUCAACUGUCAAUUCGCCAAGAAAACCAGUAAGUCUGCAGGAUAUGGACUAUGCUUUACCAUUACAUCUACAGUAAAUUACAUUUUGUAAUGCAUGUCAAUUCACAAAACAUGUUACACUAUUCUUACAGUAUGAUCUAUUGACAGUAUACUGUGUUCUACCCUCAGAAGACCCCAUGGUGGUGGCCGUGUGCUGACCGAUCAGCAGGAGUGGGGAGUGGUGGAAAUGGUGAGGGCCAGGAAUGACAUACGUCUGUCUGAAAUAAAGCAGGCCAUUGAGGAGAACAAUGACACCUUUGCCAAUGUGGCAUCCAUCAGCCUGCCAACAAUCGCCCAACUUUUGAAGAGGCAUCCAGGUAUCUAUGAAACACAUUUACCUGGUGCCUUUUGAGUGAAACAACGACUGGGUGAAACAAUUGCAGGCUGAGUAUGUUCAGUUACAGCACUACUGUAUAUACUGUAUUACUAUUACUAUUAAUGCACAUGCUACUUCACAAUAUCAUAUUGGAACUAUACUGCAAAAAUAACUAACCAAAAUAUAUUUUUAGAGGGUGAUGGUGCUUGAUGUUGCUGUGAACCAUCACAAGUAUAUCUUCGUUGAUGAAACAGGCUUCAAUCAGGCCAAAACUCGGCACCAUGGGUAGAACCUCACCGGCCAACGGGCGACCGUCCAAGCGCCUGGACAACGGGGGGAAACAUCUUCAUGUGCACAGUUAUCUCUGAAUAGUAUGGUAUGGUAGGAUAUAGGCCUACCAUCAUGGUGUGGUAGGAGGUAGACCUACCAUCAUGGUGUGGUAGGAGGUAGACCUACCAUCAUGGUGUGGUAGAAGGUAGACCUACCAUCAUGGUGUGGUAGGAGGUAGACCUACCAUCAUGGUGUGGUAGGAGGUAGGCCUACCAUCAUGGUGUGGUAGGAGGUAGACCUACCAUCAUGGUGUGGUAGGACGAAGGCCUACCAUCAUGGUGUGGUAGGACAUAGACCUACCAUCUUGGUGUGGUAGGAGGUAGGCCUACCAUCAUGGUGUGGUAGGAGGUAGACCUACCAUCAUGGUGUGGUAGGAUGUAGGCCUACCAUCAUGGUGUGGUAGGAGGAAUUGCAGGCCGAAUAUGGAAACCAUGUGUUUGAUGUAUUUGAUACCAUUCCACUCAUUCUGUUCCAGCCAUUACCACGAGCCCAUCCUCCCCAAUGAAGGUGCCACCAACCUCCUGCGAUGCAGACAAAUGUCAAGCUUGGAUUCACCAUGCCAUGUUUUAUUUUCAUUCAUUUCAUUUCUCACAUUUGAUUAGACAGUAUGUUGCAAUUAUAUCUGAAAAUUCAUUGUUUUUAUUUGCAUGAAUGAUUGUAGAGGACGUUUUCAUGGAAUACAUGUUGGAUAGAUAUGAUAGAUUUUCUGUAAAUUUUUUGGGGUAAUGUAAGUGUAUUGCCUAAUGUGAAAACUGUAAUCUGCUAUUCACAGGACUGUGUUCCUUUCAGCACCUCUAAGGGGGAUUUGAAACGCGUAUCUUGCAUUGUUUGCUAUUGGAUUAACUGGGAGUUAAAAAUAAUCAAUUGUAAAGACAUCAUUAUGUUGUGUUCUGGUGAAUAAACCAAUGUCACAUUACAUUUCACAAUAAACUUUGAUUUUAAAUGAAUGGUUGUGUGGUGCGAUAUGUUUACAAUCCAAAUGAAUGCACAAUGAAAGGUUUUCAAUGAAAGACUGGCUGUGUCACAAGUGUUACCAGUUUGG
Molecule: long non-coding RNA, 2517 nt
Filed under: Salmo salar (Atlantic salmon)
Lineage: Eukaryota; Metazoa; Chordata; Actinopteri; Salmoniformes; Salmonidae
Description: lncRNA (ENSSSAG00000089529.1)
Source: RNAcentral